Molecule: ribosomal RNA, 984 nt
Filed under: uncultured bacterium
Lineage: Bacteria
Description: bacterial SSU rRNA
Rfam family: Bacterial small subunit ribosomal RNA
Source: RNAcentral
UGUGCCAGCAGCCGCGGUAAUACGUAGGGGGCGAGCGUUGUCCGAAUUCACUGGGCGUAAAGCGCGCGUAGGCGGACUAUUAAGUUGAGGGUGAAAUUCCGAGGCUCAACCUCGGACCUGCCUUCAAAACUGGUAGUCUUGAGGUAUGGAGAGGGAAGUGGAAUUCCUGGUGUAGCGGUGAUAUGCGUAGAUAUCAGGAGGAACACCCGUGGCGAAGGCGGCUUCCUGGCCAUAUCCUGACGCUGAGGUGCGAAAGCUAGGGGAGCGAACGGGAUUAGAUACCCCGGUAGUCCUAGCCGUAAACGAUGGAUACUAGGUGUUAGUGGUAUCGACCCCACUAGUGCCGCAGCUAACGCAUUAAGUAUCCCGCCUGGGGAGUACGACCGCAAGGUUGAAACUCAAAGGAAUUGACGGGGGCCCGCACAAGCGGUGGAGCAUGUGGUUUAAUACGUCACUAACCGUAGAACCUUACCCAGGCUUGACAUCUGGGGAAUCCUGAUGAAAGUCGGGAGUGCCUUUCGGGGAACCCCAAGACAGGUGUUGCAUGGCUGUCGUCAGCUCGUGUCGUGAGAUGUUGGGUUAAGUCCCGCAACGAGCGCAACCCUCAUCCGAUGUUGCCAGCGUAAAGUCGGGAACUCUUCGGAAACUGCCCGUGUAAGCGGGAGGAAGGUGGGGAUGACGUCAAGUCAGCAUGGCCCUUACGCCUGGGGCUACACACAUGCUACAAUGGAUGUGAACAAAGGGCAGCAAUACCGCGAGGUGGAGCUAAUCUCAAAAAUACAUCCUCAGUUCGGAUUGUAGUCUGCAACUCGACUACAUGAAGUCGGAAUCGCUAGUAACCGCAGGUCAGCUAAACUGCGGUGAAUACGUUCCCGGGCCUUGUACACACCGCCCGUCACGCCACCUGAAUUGUCUGCACCCGAAGUCGAUGGCCUAACCCGCAAGGGAAGGAGUCGCCGAAGGUGUGGGGAGUGAGGGGGACGA